UGUCCGCGAAGGAACAGCGGCGAAAGGGGCCUGCAGAGACGGGCAGGCCCCUUUCUGAAGCCGGCUUGAGUCAACACUAAUCAAUUCAGCCGCAAUCACGCUGUAGGAUUCGGCUGAGAUUACUGUUCAAGUCACACUACAAAGUCCAGUAUCAGCGGAUGCUUUGGACAAAGGACACAAGAGCAAUUUAGAAUAAGGUCAAUUAGAUAAUAAGUUUGCGACCCGAAGUUCGAGUAGGGGAAAAGAGAAAAGUCUUACGUUUCGCAAAGCGUAAGCCUUUUUUCUUUUCCGCCCUUUUUUCCCCAAACAUUAUUGAAACUCCGCGUUGGUGAAACGCGGGGUGAAAAGGAUCGGACAAUAUAAAAGCCCCAAUGCGUUAUAUUUGCAACGCCCCCAAACUAUCUAAGGAUCAAAUGCAAGCUCCAACGCCGCAUUCUCUUGCCGGGGUCGUGAAAGAUGAGUCUACCGCAUCGUCCGAUGGCCGCCCGCGGAUCGAAGUGUAGAGGUCCGAUACGAUGGUUAAGCUUAUGGUUACAAAUACGAGCCUUUCACAUCCAAUGAAUCAACUAGCAACUGCUACCUUGCAACUAGCAAAACAGCAAAUUGAAGUUCGUACCCCAACGCAUAAAACAACCCAACGGAAAAACGCAGAAAUCCAAAAAACAAAAAACAAAACAAAAAAAAAGGUGGGAAACUAAAUUCUAAAAUCUCACGUAAAGAACGCAAAAAAAAACACCUUUCUCCAGACACUUGGGAAAUGGAAAUUAAGCAAAACCAAUCAUAUCAGUCGUAACAUUUUUCUCAUCAAGGCCAAAAAAGGUACUAGACUGUCUCUGUAUAAUAAGUGAUUUUGCUUACCUUACCUCCACCGUUCAUCCACUCCGAUGUCGGCCAUUAUGUUUUUGAAUAAUAAGUCUACAAAAAGGGUUUGGGUAACCUUUAAAAAAAUAUAUAUGCAACCCAAUAUUCUGAGGUGACUAUAGCCACAGGUUGCCAGAUGUGAUACAUCGUUGGUUAGUUGGAAAACGUAACAAUUUUUGAAACUGUUGGACGUUAGUUAAUUACUCUUCCUUUUUUUUUGGUGGAUGCAUUGGCAGAAAAAUUUUUGCAUAAAAAAUGAGUGUUUUACUAUUGUAUUGCGGUAUUUGCAUUGUCCGAACGUUAUCAGUAAUCGAUAAUGCAGAUUAAUACACAAUAAUCAACAUC
Daphnia magna is the source of this 1206-nucleotide long non-coding RNA. RefSeq lists it as uncharacterized. NCBI's taxonomy places the organism in Eukaryota, Metazoa, Arthropoda, Branchiopoda, Diplostraca, Daphniidae. The record is from RefSeq and is a predicted model, not a curated record. The transcript is spliced from 2 exons.